This 337-nucleotide unclassified non-coding RNA is filed under the name uncultured fungus. Its description in RNAcentral is "partial contains small subunit ribosomal RNA, internal transcribed spacer 1, and 5.8S ribosomal RNA". The stretch from base 1 to 73 matches the Rfam family "Eukaryotic small subunit ribosomal RNA", at positions 1759 to 1831 of the family's 1831-position model. The record is from RNAcentral. Lineage: Eukaryota; Fungi.
CCAAACUUGGUCAUUUAGAGGAAGUAAAAGUCGUAACAAGGUAACCGUAGGUGAACCUGCGGUUGGAUCAUUACCAAAUUUUUAAAGGUAUCUAGUUUACUGGAUACCUGGGUAUUGAAAUAUAUACCACAUUUACCUUGUGUGAAAUGUAAAUUGUAUUGAUAGAUUUUUCAUCUGGGUUUUUACUUGGGUGGUUUAUCUAUAUAAACAUUUUAAGUUUUCUAAGUCUGAAUAGUUUUUUUACAUAUUGAUAUUUUGCUUUAGUAAAAUAUUUAAAAUUGUUAAAACAACUUUUGGCAACGGAUCUCUUGGCUCUCGCAUCGAUGAAGAACGCAGC